AAAGCACUUUUGUCCGGAAAGAAAACCUUUGGGCUAAUACCCUGAGGGGAUGACGGUACCGGAAGAAUAAGCACCGGCUAACUACGUGCCAGCAGCCGCGGUAAUACGUAGGGUGCGAGCGUUAAUCGGAAUUACUGGGCGUAAAGCGUGCGCAGGCGGUUCGUUAAGACAGAUGUGAAAUCCCCGGGCUUAACCUGGGAACUGCAUUUGUGACUGGCGAGCUAGAGUAUGGCAGAGGGGGGUAGAAUUCCACGUGUAGCAGUGAAAUGCGUAGAGAUGUGGAGGAAUACCGAUGGCGAAGGCAGCCCCCUGGGCCAAUACUGACGCUCAUGCACGAAAGCGUGGGGAGCAAACAGGAUUAGAUACCCUGGUAGUCCACGCCCUAAACGAUGUCAACUAGUUGUUGGGUCUUCAUUGACUUAGUAACGUAGCUAACGCGUGAAGUUGACCGCCUGGGGAGUACGGUCGCAAGAUUAAAACUCAAAGG
Molecule: ribosomal RNA, 487 nt
Filed under: bacterium Fuku2-ISO-27
Lineage: Bacteria
Description: bacterial SSU rRNA
Rfam family: Bacterial small subunit ribosomal RNA
Source: RNAcentral